This 24-nucleotide small nuclear RNA is filed under the name Arabidopsis thaliana (thale cress). Its description in RNAcentral is "snRNA_09141". The record is from RNAcentral. Lineage: Eukaryota; Viridiplantae; Streptophyta; Magnoliopsida; Brassicales; Brassicaceae.
UCCGGGAGGUUUUUGUUACUCGCC